This 316-nucleotide unclassified non-coding RNA is filed under the name uncultured fungus. RNAcentral describes it as "partial contains small subunit ribosomal RNA, internal transcribed spacer 1, and 5.8S ribosomal RNA". The stretch from base 1 to 73 matches the Rfam family "Eukaryotic small subunit ribosomal RNA", at positions 1759 to 1831 of the family's 1831-position model. The record is from RNAcentral. Lineage: Eukaryota; Fungi.
GCAAACUUGGUCAUUUAGAGGAAGUAAAAGUCGUAACAAGGUUUCCGUAGGUGAACCUGCGGAAGGAUCAUUAAAGAGUUAGGGUCUUCUAGGCCCGAUCUCCCAACCCUUUGUUUACCCAAACCAUCGUUGCUUCGGCGGGCCCGUCCUUAACGGACCGUCGGAGGACUGUCAAAGGUCCUCUGACCCGCGCCCGUCGGUGGCCAACUUACCUAAAUUCUUAAGUAAACGUGUCAUUAUCUGAGUACUAUAUAAAAAUAAAAGCAAAACUUUCAACAACGGAUCUCUUGGUUCUGGCAUCGAUGAAGAACGCAGC